This 377-nucleotide unclassified non-coding RNA is filed under the name plant metagenome. RNAcentral describes it as "partial contains 5.8S ribosomal RNA, internal transcribed spacer 2, and large subunit ribosomal RNA". The stretch from base 1 to 105 matches the Rfam family "5.8S ribosomal RNA", at positions 50 to 154 of the family's 154-position model. The record is from RNAcentral.
GAAAUGCGAUAAGUAAUGUGAAUUGCAGAAUUCAGUGAAUCAUCGAAUCUUUGAACGCACCUUGCGCUCCUUGGUAUUCCUUGGAGCAUGCCUGUUUGAGUAUCAUGAAAUCUUCAAAGUAAAUCUUUUGUUAACUCAAUUGUUUCUACUUUGGUAUUGGAGGUCUUUGCAGCUUCACACCUGCUCCUCUUUGUUCAUUAGCUGGAUCUCAGUGUUAUGCUUGGUUCCACUCGGCGUGAUAAGUUAUCUAUCGCUGAGGACACUGUAAAAGGUGGCCAAGGUAAAUGCAGAUGAACCGCUUUUAAUAGUCCAUUGACUUGGACAAUACUUUUAUGAUCUGAUCUCAAAUCAGGUAGGACUACCCGCUGAACUUAAGC